Molecule: ribosomal RNA, 259 nt
Filed under: uncultured bacterium
Lineage: Bacteria
Description: partial 16S ribosomal RNA
Rfam family: Bacterial small subunit ribosomal RNA
Source: RNAcentral
CUUGCUUUCUUUUGCUGGCGACCGGCGCACGGGUGAGUAACACGUAUCCAACCUGCCCUUUACUCGGGGAUAGCCUUUCGAAAGAAAGAUUAAUACCCGAUAGUAUAACGAUUCCGCAUGGUUUCAUUAUUAAAGGAUUCCGGUAAAGGAUGGGGAUGCGUCCCAUUAGGUUGUUGGUGAGGUAACGGCUCACCAAGCCUUCGAUGGAUAGGGGUUCUGAGAGGAAGGUCCCCCACAUUGGAACUGAGACACGGUCCAA